This 8437-nucleotide long non-coding RNA is filed under the name Heterocephalus glaber (naked mole-rat). RNAcentral's name for it is "lncRNA (ENSHGLG00100050465.1)". Lineage: Eukaryota; Metazoa; Chordata; Mammalia; Rodentia; Bathyergidae. The record is from RNAcentral.
GGUGACUUCACGGACUUAUCUGUACCGCAGGAAGGCAUUGUGCCGGGGUAAUGAGAUAACAAGUCAAGAGGCUCUUGGGCAACCGAAUGAGGUCAAGAGCAAGUCUUUGUUAUUACCUGUUCCUGGCACUGGCAGCACAAACAAACCCAAACAGUUUCACCAAAGCAGACUGAUUGGAAAGAGGAGCUGAAACUCUCCCAGGAUGGGGACCAUUCCUAUUAUCACAGUCUUAUUGAAGUCUGAACUUCCUGGCAAUUCAUCUGCAGUGGGAAAGCUACAUUUCUCUAUACAGGCUCACAGGGAACCGGAACUCUAUCCAGUGCUGUACACCAGCACAGAACAAGUAAUGGUGCCGCCUCUUACUGGAGCUUAGAUCACAGGAUCUGCCGCCUCUACAACCAAGGUUCCAUCACUGCCCAAUACUCCAGGGGCUGGAGAGCAAGCCUGCAACACACAGACCUUUGGGGGACAUCUAAGAUCCAAACUAUAGCACAAAAGGAAGACAAUGAAAGGAUCCGUGUCAAAGAAUUAUGCAGGUGUUAACUGCCUCUUCAGAGAUGGCCAGGCCCUCCCUGGAAAAUGAGAGGCCAAACCAGAGAGUCAUCCAUCAGAUGAAUAGUUGACUAACCACAGAUAUCCAUCAGGUUCUUGCCAUGUGCCAAGCUCGCUAUGUGGGCUCUGGGGAGAAUGUGAAAGUAACCAUGGCUGGGUCCUGUGACAAAGAAAAGAGUGCAAUAGCCCACAAAUAGCAGUUUCCUUUAUCAAUGGAAAAUCAUCAGGGAGGAUUUAGGUGCAAGAUGAGUGAAAUACUUACCUGGGCUGGGUGCUAGGAAUUCAGAGGGGAAAGAAGGAAGAAUGUGUGUGCGUACUGGAGCAUGUGUUUUGUGAUUCGUGUCCGGCUCCUAUUUAGGAGGCAAACUGAAUGAAAACAUUCUUCAUGGGAUAGGAAGUAGAACCAUGUUGGGGCCCAGAGUGUGGAAAAAUGGAUAAGGGGGCUGAGGGUGUAGCUGUCAUGCAUGGUUCAAGAAAAUGGAGAGAAAGAAAAAAUAGGGAAGGACUAGAGGCACGAUGUCAAGUUAGAAUACAAAGAUUCUAGCGAGAAGCCAAGGUCCCCGUAGGUGUUUAAUCUGAUGUGUGAUUCAGCGAAACACAUAUGAAAUCAGUAGUGUCCACCUUGCUUUUAUUCACAUAGACCAGGUGUCUGUCCACGUGCUUAUUUAUACGCCUAGCCCUGAGUAUAUGAAUUCUUUCUGUAAUAGCUACUGGAACCCUUACUUUAAUAGUUACUGGAAUUCUUACUUUCGCCCUUCUUUUGCAGGCCUGGGAAUUGAACUCAGAGCCUAGUGCAUGCUAAGCAAGCAGUGUGCCUCUGAGUUACAUCCCAGACCCCAUUCUUGCCUUUGAGAAUAGACAAAUAAAAGCCCUACCUCGGAGAGCUAUUAGAGGGUCAGCUAAAAGAAAUGGAAUCCAGCAUGUCUUGUACUGGCCUCUGAAUCCUAAAGCUUGUUCCUGUUCUCAUACUAUUUCUUUCAGGAUUCUUAUUCCCUUAAAUGUAGUCUCACCCCUAACCUUAGACCUGGGUGAAAUAAAGAUUCAGGAUGGGGUUAAAGAAAGUGGUUGAGAGCUAAGACCAAACAUAAAGUUUAUUCUCUCUGGUUCUUAGUGUGCAUGGCAAAAAGUGGGCAUGACCCUGGGUACAGUGGCACACACCUAUAAUCUCAGCUCUCUGGGAGGCUGAGGCAGGAGGAUCAAAAAUUCAAGUCUUGCUUGGGGAAUUUAGUGAGAUCCUAUCUCAAUUAAAAAAAGAAAAUGUGGUACUGGGGAUUGAACCCAGGGCUUUUGCACUGUUUUAUACCCAGUACUUUUUAUUUUUAACUUUUGAGACAAGGACUUGAGAAUUUGCUAAAUUGCCCCAAGGUGGGCUUCAACUUGCCAUCUUCCUGCCUUAGCUUCCCAGACUGGUGGGAUUACAGGCAUGUGCCACCAUGCCUUGGCCGAUCUCAAAAUAAAAAUAAAUAAGUAAGUAGAGCUGGGGAUGUAGCUCAGUGUGAAGGCCCUGGGUUCCAUCCCCAAGUACGGGGGUGGGGUGUGGGAAAGAAAGUGGGUGUGGCUUCUUAAGCAUUGACUGGAUUGGACCAUUUGAGAGGAUAAAAUGUCAUAAAAUAAUCCUGAUAUCAUUGCUUUAAAAUUUUAUCAGGAUGUGAUUUCAUUGAAGUCUUUUAUAUUAAUAAUUCCAUAAUUGCUUUAUGUUUACAUAUCAUUGUGCAAAAAAUAUAAAUCUCUCUGGUUUUAUUUCUUUCCUUUUUUUGGGUGGCAUUAGGCAGGCAGGUAAACUACUGAGCCAAAUCCCCGGCCCCUCUUUGGUGGGAUUAGGGAUGGAUUCUAGGGUCUCACUGAGCUACAGCCCCGGUCUUUUUUUUUGAGACAAAGUCUUACUAAGUUGCUAAAUUGCCUAGGCUGGGCUCAAACUUUUGAUUCUCCUGCCUCAGCCUCUGGGAGCGUUGGCACAUGUCACCACCUCAAGCAUGUGCAAUCUCAUGCCACCCAAAGCUCUGUAUUUCUUAAUCUUUUUUCUUUUGUAUUUCUUAAUCUUAAUGCCUCCAGUUAAAUGGUGUGAGUUUUUUUGUAAGCACUUUUUUCUUAUGUUUCUUUGAGAAAAGCGAUGAGAGAAAGUAAAUAGCUAGAUAUGGCUGGUGACGUAGCUCGGUGAUAGAGUGCUUGGGUGGCAUGCACACAGCCCUGGAUUCAAUCCCUAGCACCACAAAAAAGAAAAGGAAAUAAAUGAGCCCAGUGAGCAGUGAAAAAGGAGGGAGUAGUGGGGUUUUAAAUCUUGGUCCCCAAGAGGCAGCAAACGAAAAUCAACACAACAGAAAAUGUGAAAUCUAUAAAGUGUCUGACGGGAGAAGGAAACGCCUCAGGAAAUUCAAGAGAAAGCAAAGGGCAAGGGGUCGGAAAUAGAUAGAGACUGACAGUCCCAGGCCUGAGGACUAAAGGGACUGGGAGAGCCCCAGCUGGAGAUGGAGGCAUUUUCCGGAGAGAUUAAAGCCUGUCAUUGUUAGAAACAGAAAGGAUGUUGCAUGCAGGGAGCACCAGGCAGUGACGCAGCCACAGCCCGUGUGACAGAUUCCAGGUGACAAACAAUGCUUUGCCUAGGAGCUCAGGAGGAAAAUGGCUCCUUCUACAUGGGCAGACUCAUGCCAAAGAGCCCCGGAGUAGUUCUUAGACAAAUUCCCAAGAACACCAAAGAGUGGAGGGAGGUGUAUUCCCAGCAGUCGACUGGGUGGCCAGUGUUGCAGCAGGCCACCCUGGGCGUCCCACAGCUUCCAAUGCUGUAAGCUUUGACCGCAGAGCAGGGGCAGUGGACAGAGCAUCCCAGCAGCGCUUUGAAGACGAAGCGAUUCCCUCUGCUUCACAGGAGAGUGAAGAGAUGGCUAUCCGGUGACAAUCCAUUAUUCAUCCAGGCCCAAGGUCACCCAGCCCUGGGUGGGAGGCUGAGAGUCAGGCCCCAGCCACUGCAUCCCCAACACUUUCCACUUACCUCAUGCUGGGCAUUGUUUCAUUUUUUGAAAUCUCACCUAGGGCCAAGCUCUUUAUAUACUUUCUCUGAGCUAUAACAGGAUCCAGCCAUGUGCUUAAGUGACAGCACGUCAGCAUUUCAAAAACCUGCCACUUCCACAUGACCUUAACACCUAGAGCUAAAAUUGGACCGCAGCUCAGAGCCCAGGCAUCUCUUUCCUUUUCUGACGAUUUCAUGGAAGUGGGGGUGAGGCAGGGAGCCCUUAGUGGGCAGAGUCCAGAAUAGGAAGUAUGCCUUUCACCGGGACUUACACUGUGCUCAUGUAUUUCCUUAUAUUCACAGCCUUCUCUAAGAAAUGUAGACCUCGGGAGGCUGGGGGUGUAGCUCAGUGGCAAAGCAAGUGCGCAGAUGUGUGAGGAGGCCCAGGGCUUGAUACGCAGCACUGUCUUCAACACAUAUACAAGGGCUGAUCCAAAUAUACAGUGAUUGUCUAAAUUUUAAAAAAUUUAUUGCAGUAAAAGACCAUUCGCAUUCAUCCCCCUCAAAAUACUCCCCUUGCUUCAGACACACUUAUUCCAUCAUUCUUGCCACUUUCUAAAGCAGUUCUGGGCGUCCUUUUUUGUGAGGGUUUUCACGAGGUAUGAUCAAAAAUACGGUGAAUGCGGUGCUGAGUGCCAUCCAAAGUAAAGGCAGGCUUGUGAAAACAUCACAGGGUGUCCUCAUUCACCUUAUGCACUGGGUCUGGCACUGAGCAAUUUCCAGCUCUUCCCCAAAGGAAAAAUGACCAUGAAAAGUAAACAUUUUGAAUUGAUUCAGCACACUGAGGCAGCCACAACCUUACAACUAAAGACACUGACCAAAGAAGACUUCCAGAACUGCUUCAGAAGUGGCAAAAACAGUGGGAUAAGUGUGUUCAACAUGAGAGAGAGUAUUUAGAGAUGGAUUAAAGGCAGUGUGUCUUUAACUGUAAUGACUUUUAAAAAAUAAAUUUAACAUUCCUUAUACUUUUUGAUCAUACCAUAGAAAAGGAAACACGGUCCAUACAUUCCCCUUUGGUUACUUGGAGAAAAUAUGAUGCGGUUGCUUUCUGUUUUUGUUGAAGCAUGUCAUUAGGUCUUCCAUUUUAGAUUAAAUGAGAAUAGAAUCAUUUUUAAUAAAAAUGUCAGCAGUUUAGGGGACAGAAACUUAUAUCCAUUGUGAGCCUAUUAUGUUAGGUGCUUUAAUCUUGUUUCAUUAAUUUCUGAGAGGGAGGCAUCACUGUGUUCACUUUACAGUUAAGGAAAAUGAGGGCCAGAGACAUUAUACAAAUAGGUGGCAGAGCUGGGAUUUGAACCCAAGGACACUUGAAUUUUGACUAGGCUUUGAGAAUAAAAUCUGCGGAUUAAAAGAGAUAAAACUUUUAAGGUGCUUAGACCAGUAUCUGGAACAUGGUAAGUUUAAAUAAACGUGAACGAUUGUUAUGAGCUUUGUGUUUUUUGUUUUUUUUUUGGUACCAGGGAUCGAACUCAGAUCCUUGUGUUGCAGGGCAGGCAGCAGAACCACUGAGCUAAAUCCCCAGCAAUGUAAGUUUCUUGUGAUUCUUUUUUUGUUUUUUUGUUUUUUUGCUACCGGGGAUCGAACUCGGGUCCUUGUGCUUGCGCAGCAGGCAGUGAAACCACUUAGCUAAAUCCCUGGCCCCUUGUUGUUGUUUUUUGUUUUGUUUUGUUUUGUUUUUUGGUACCAGGGAUUGAACUUGGGUCCUUGCCCUUGCGCAGCAGGUGGCGAAACCACUGAGCUAAAUCCACAGCCCCUUGUUAUGAGCACUACUAAUAUUGAAAGAGCACCUAUAAAACCACCUUUUCAAGAGCAUUUCUAAUACACUUUUUUUUCCUUUUUGUGUUCCUGGGGAUUAAAUCCAGGGCCUUUGCCUUGACCCACAUCUCCAGCCCUCCCUAUUUUUAAAAAUUUUGAUUCAGGUUCUCACUGAGUCACUAAAUUGUGAUCCUCCCUUCUCAGGCUCCCACAGUGCUGGGAUUACAGGCACGGGCCUCCAUCCCUGGCUCGGCUUUAGAGACAGGGUCUCGCUCUGUGGCCCAGUCUGGCCUUGAACCUGUGAUCUUCCUGCCUUUGUCUCCCAAGUGUGGGGAUCACAGGUGUAUAUCACACACCCAGCAGAUAACAUUUAUUUCUCAGCCUUAUCUAGCAGAUGGACUAAUCCUUAGGGUGAAGAUCUCAGUCAUUGUUCUCACAGUGACCCUGGCACAUGACCUACACUGCAGAGUGGUCAGGUCCCUUCCUGGGUGUCUGCAUUCUCAAGGACGAAGAGCUGCAGGGAGGGUUCCAGAAGGUCACUACCUUGUCUUUUCCAGGAACUGUAAGAGGACAGAGUGCUGCUGGUGCCUCCAAGAUGGCAAGCACAGACCUUCCACGCAGAACACGGUGUUGGGGCAGAGAUAAGAGACAGAAAGCCUGGGUUGAGGAAGGCAGCCUGUAACUGCUGAGACAGCUGAGUUGUGUUGGGGUCAACUGGAGCCCUACCUCUGGGGCACAGCAGGUGGCCCGCCAGGAAGGAAGCGGGACUGAGCACCGGGCAUUAGGGCGGGAUUUAGGUCCACUCGCGUUCUCCAAAUGAGAUCUGAGGGCUGGCGAAUCCCAGUGACGUGCGGGGGGGAUAGACGAGUGUUACCAGGAAGCCCCGACCUCUGCUUGCGGGGAGAGAGGCCAGGAGGGGCGUGAGGGGCCGUGCAGCACACUCAGCCCUCCCCGGUGUUCGGGGGCCUCGGGUGCCCCAACUUCCGGGCGGCUGGGAUCUGAUCUCCUGCGGGCUGCGCCGAGAGCCCCACGCAGAGCGAGCGGAUCGGAGACAGCGCGAUGUUCCGGCUGAGCAAAGCCAGCUGCAAACCUGCUCAGGCGGCUUCCUUUCCCCGGCGCGGGGACCGAACGGGGCCUCUAGCGGCCACUCUGAGAAUGCGCUCCCGAGCCUUCAGACCCCUGGGGACUGGUUCAUCCUAAACUAGGCCUCCGCGGGCAAGACUGCAUGAUGACGUCCUCUGAAAACCUUCGCCAGGCAGAGUCGUGAGUUGGGCUGGAGCUGAGCCCUGUGCAGCUGGGUUCCAGAAUUCAGGACCAGAUUGGACUCCCAGUGUCAGUGGACACGUGGAACACUUCUGCCCCUGGCUAUUGAGAAUCAAGCUGCUAGGAAUACCAGAUUCCCCAUCCAACUGGUUGGGAAGCUCUUCAUGUGGCUUUUCAGAGUGGACAGUCCUGCUAGCUGUCCCUUUGCCCUCUGCCAGAUCCCCAGAGUUCUUUUCAUUCAUUGAUGGCUUAGGAAGAGAGAGUGUGUGCAAGACACACGUGUCUUCUACUCACUGGCCAAGAUAAGACAAGACUACAACAUCAUUUCCUGGUCCUGCCUACUUCCUGUGGGCGGCCCCUUCUCCACGAGAGCAGCACCUGACACAGGGGACUCAUUCUCCUUUGAUGCUUUUUAAAGGUGUACUUGUGACUCGAAUGACUGUGAUCCUGGGAAAACUCAACAUUUCAUCUCAUCAAAGUCACCUUUCCAACUUUAGCAGUGAAAACUACAAGAAAGGGGGUCAAAAUUCAGAUUAGGCAUCCUGGAGCAUCCUCUCUGGCUCCACAAGGUGAUCAGAGAGUGUGGACACAUAUCCAUCUAUUGACAAAUAAUUGUGAAAGGCAAAAUGUCUCCCUAAAUUAUAGUAAUGCACAUGUGAUGUGUAUAAUUCAACACCCUUUUGUGUAGGAAGUAGCCAUACUACUAAUACACUGCUGGUGGAAUUCUUAAUUGGUUUAGCCACUUAAAGAGAAAUCAGUAUUAUGUCUUAAAGUUGAAAAUGUAGGCAUCCUAUGGCCCAGCAAUUCCAUCAAUAUGAUCAAUAAAGAUUUAUUUCCCAAUCAGCAACCCAAGAUGACUGAAUAGUGCAAACAACUGCAUAUAUAAAUGACUCCCAGUGGUUUCAUUUUUCAAUGAGAUGAUAUCUGAAGAGCAGGAAAAAAAUGACUGGGUUCAUAUGGAGGAGAAAUCAGUUCCGCUGGAAUGCUGCUGUCAGGACUGAACACAAGGCGGCAAGUUUGUAGAUGGUGGAGACCCUCGUGCUGUUUAUCUCACAGACAUUCUCAUGUAAGCCUGCCUGGGAGAACUGAAACAGGUGGACGUAUCUGUGUAAAGAAGAAGCAGUGUGGUAUCAUCUCAUAUGGUUCUCACACCAUGGGACACAUGAGAAAGAAUCACCAAGUUUAUACCAAUUCUUUUUAUUAACAGAAGUAUUGGUUCAGGAUGAGUGGAAGCAUUGUAGAAUUUAUCUGCUGUCAGACAAGUAGAGAUUUCUAGGUAAUAUUCUGCUUCCCAGACUGGCCACUUGAGUAAUACGAUAAGAACAUAGCCAUCAUGGUAGUGGCAUAAGUACCUACAUUUUCUCUUAAAUAAUCACUUACCUGGGGACCUCACCUCUUGAGAAUAUGUUGAAAAUAGAAAAUGUAUAUAAAGUCAGAUAGGCCUUCGUGAGAACAGUUGGUCUUUCCUGGGGGUAAUUUUGCCUCUCCCUGUAGGGAACAUUUGACGAUGUCUACAGACAUCUCUGAUUGGGCUGACUAACAAGGAAGGAAGAACUGCUAAUGGUGCCUAGAAGGUGGAGGGCAGGGAUCCUGAUCAAUAUUCUAAAAUGCACAGGAUGGCCUGUUAUAAUUUAGAUCUCAAGGGGCCGGGGAUUUAGCUCAGUGGUUCCGCCGCCUGCCUCGCAAGCACAAGAACCCGAGUUCGACCCCCAGUACCAAAAACAAAACAAAACAAAAAUAAUUUAGAUCUCAAAUGUCUCCCCAAAGUCUCCGGUGUGUGGAAGAUCGUUGGGUCAUGGGGCUCGGUACUCAUCAGUGGACUCAUCCUUGAUGAGUUCACAGCUGAAUGUGCUGCUAGGAGGUGGG